RNAcentral lists this ribosomal RNA (499 nucleotides) under uncultured bacterium. RNAcentral describes it as "partial 16S ribosomal RNA". It matches the Rfam family "Bacterial small subunit ribosomal RNA", at positions 28 to 507 of the family's 1533-position model. The record is from RNAcentral.
GACGAACGCUGGCGGCGUGCCUAAUACAUGCAAGUCGAGCGAAGUUUUUCUGGUGCUUGCCCUAGAAAAACUUAGCGGCGAACGGGUGAGUAACACGUAAAGAACCUGCCUCAUAGACUGGGACAACUAUUGGAAACGAUAGCUAAUACCGGAUAACAGUAUUUCUCGCAUGAGAGAUAUUUAAAAGUUGGUUAUGCUAACACUAUGAGAUGGCUUUGCGGUGCAUUAGCUAGUUGGUGGGGUAAAGGCCCACCAAGGCGACGAUGCAUAGCCGACCUGAGAGGGUGAUCGGCCACACUGGGACUGAGACACGGCCCAGACUCCUACGGGAGGCAGCAGUAGGGAAUCUUCCGCAAUGGGCGAAAGCCUGACGGAGCAACGCCGCGUGAGUGGAGAAGGAUUUCGGUUCGUAAAGCUCUGUUGUUAGGGAAGAAUGGAUAUGUAGUAACUAUACAUGUAAGAGACGGUACCUAACCAGAAAGCCACGGCUAACUACGUG